GAUCAUGGCUCCGGAUGAACGCUAGCUACAGGCUUAACACAUGCAAGUCGAGGGGCAGCGGGAUUGAAGCUUGCUUCAAUUGCCGGCGACCGGCGCACGGGUGAGUAACGUGUAUCCAACCUUCCGUACACUCAGGGAUAGCCUUUCGAAAGAAAGAUUAAUACCUGAUGGUAUCUUAAACACACAUGUAAUUAAGAUUAAAGAUUUAUCGGUGUACGAUGGGGAUGCGUUCCAUUAGGUAGUAGGCGGGG
This 251-nucleotide ribosomal RNA is filed under the name uncultured bacterium. RNAcentral describes it as "partial 16S ribosomal RNA". It matches the Rfam family "Bacterial small subunit ribosomal RNA", at positions 15 to 257 of the family's 1533-position model. The record is from RNAcentral.